UUUAAUUUGGCAGAUAAAUGCACUUGACUUAGAAUCAACAUAUAACUUAUUGUUAAUUUCAAA
RNAcentral lists this transfer RNA (63 nucleotides) under Ampullaceana lagotis. RNAcentral's name for it is "tRNA-Leu". Lineage: Eukaryota; Metazoa; Mollusca; Gastropoda; Lymnaeidae. The record is from RNAcentral.